AGAACUGUCAAAGUAUUUUGGGAAAAAAAAAAAUCUGUUCUUAUCAGUUUAAUAUCUGAUACGUCCCCUAUCUGGGGACCAUAUACAGUAUUAAAUUGAUUUUUGGAACAGGGAGAUGGAAUAGGGGCUUGCUCCGUCCACUCCAUGCAUCAACCUGGUAUUGCAGUGUCUCCAGGAAUGGUGCACCCUUU
Molecule: small nuclear RNA, 191 nt
Organism: Paramormyrops kingsleyae
Lineage: Eukaryota; Metazoa; Chordata; Actinopteri; Osteoglossiformes; Mormyridae
Gene: U2
Rfam family: U2 spliceosomal RNA
About the family: U2 is a small nuclear RNA (snRNA) component of the spliceosome (involved in pre-mRNA splicing). Complementary binding between U2 snRNA (in an area lying towards the 5' end but 3' to hairpin I) and the branchpoint sequence (BPS) of the intron results the bulging out of an unpaired adenosine, on the BPS, which initiates a nucleophilic attack at the intronic 5' splice site, thus starting the first of two transesterification reactions that mediate splicing.
Source: Ensembl